GAAGUAAAAGUCAUAACAAGGUUUCCGUAGGUGAACCUGCGGAAGGAUCAUUAUUGUAUAACCGAGGUGCGAGGGCUGUCGCUGACCCGAAAGGUCGUGCACGCCCGAGUGCCCUCACACACAUCCAUCUCACCCCUAUGUGCACCACCGCGUGGGUCCCCCUUUGGCUUGUUCGGAGGGGGGCUUACGUUUUCACACAAACUCUGUAUGCAGUGUAGAAUGUAUUUUUUGUUUUUGCGAUCACGCAAUCAAUACAACUUUCAACAACGGAUCUCUUGGCUCUC
This 284-nucleotide unclassified non-coding RNA is filed under the name plant metagenome. RNAcentral describes it as "partial contains small subunit ribosomal RNA, internal transcribed spacer 1, and 5.8S ribosomal RNA". The stretch from base 1 to 53 matches the Rfam family "Eukaryotic small subunit ribosomal RNA", at positions 1779 to 1831 of the family's 1831-position model. The record is from RNAcentral.